Molecule: long non-coding RNA, 141 nt
Filed under: Pongo abelii (Sumatran orangutan)
Lineage: Eukaryota; Metazoa; Chordata; Mammalia; Primates; Hominidae
Description: lincRNA
Source: RNAcentral
GGUGACUCUGGCUCUUGCAGGAGGUGGGCUACCACAGGGACAUGAGCUGCCUAACUGCCAUCCUCCUCCUGUAUCUGCCAGAGGAAGACACCUUCUGGGCACUGGAUCGGCUAAUGGCCGAGGAGAGGCACUCCCUGCAGG